AGAGUAGUAGAGGAGUCAGGUUUAUCUCGCUGCAUUUGGGAUGCAGAGCACGCUGGUUCGAAUCCAGUCUACUCUA
This 76-nucleotide transfer RNA is filed under the name Crassvirales sp. RNAcentral's name for it is "tRNA-Pro". It matches the Rfam family "tRNA". From Rfam's summary of the family: Transfer RNA (tRNA) molecules are approximately 80 nucleotides in length. Lineage: Duplodnaviria; Heunggongvirae; Uroviricota; Caudoviricetes; Crassvirales. The record is from RNAcentral.